Molecule: ribosomal RNA, 468 nt
Filed under: uncultured bacterium
Lineage: Bacteria
Description: partial 16S ribosomal RNA
Rfam family: Bacterial small subunit ribosomal RNA
Source: RNAcentral
UACGAACGCUGGCGGCGUGCUUAACACAUGCAAGUCGAACGGAAAGGCCCUGCUUUUGUGGGGUGCUCGAGUGGCGAACGGGUGAGUAACACGUGAGUAACCUGCCCUUGACUUUGGGAUAACUUCAGGAAACUGGGGCUAAUACCGGAUAGGAGCUCCUGCUGCAUGGUGGGGGUUGGAAAGUUUCGGCGGUUGGGGAUGGACUCGCGGCUUAUCAGCUUGUUGGUGAGGUAGUGGCUUACCAAGGCUUUGACGGGUAGCCGGCCUGAGAGGGUGACCGGCCACAUUGGGACUGAGAUACGGCCCAGACUCCUACGGGAGGCAGCAGUGGGGAAUAUUGCACAAUGGGCGGAAGCCUGAUGCAGCAACGCCGCGUGCGGGAUGACGGCCUUCGGGUUGUAAACCGCUUUCGCCUGUGACGAAGCGUGAGUGACGGUAAUGGGUAAAGAAGCACCGGCUAACUACGUG